Cyanistes caeruleus (blue tit) is the source of this 2103-nucleotide long non-coding RNA. The record is from Ensembl. Lineage: Eukaryota; Metazoa; Chordata; Aves; Passeriformes; Paridae.
UCCUGGAAUUCCCAAAUCCGGGAAUAAAGUGCAGAAAUGUCCGUGGGGGGAGGGGAAUACCCGGAUUUCUUUAAAUAAUGGGGGAGGGGGGGAUAAAUAUUCCCGUGGGAAAAGGGGGGAGGGGAUCCCAGAGUUCUCGAUCCAAGGGGAUCCCAGAGUUCUCGAUCCAUGAGGAAUUCCAGAUCCCAAAGUUCUCGAUCCAGGGGGAUCCCAAAGUUCUCGAUCCCUGGGGAUCCCAGAGUUCUCGAUCCAGGGGGAAUUGGGGAUCCCAAAGUUCUCAGUUCAUGGGAAUUCCGGAUCCCAAAGUUCUCGAUCCCCAGGGAUCCCAAAGUUCUCAAUCCGGGGGGAUUUGGGGAUCCCGAAGUUCUCAUUCCAAGAGGAAUUCCAGAUCCCAGAGUUCUCGAUCCAGGGGGAAUUCCAGAUCCCAAAGUUUUCAGUUCAUGGGGAAUUCCAGAUCCCAAAGUUUUCAUUCCCCAGGGAUUUGGGGAUCCCAAAGUUCUCAUUCGAGAAGGAUCCCAAGGUUCUCAGUUCAUGGGGAAUUCCAGAUCCCAAAGUUCUCGUUCCAAGCGGAUUUGGGGAUCCCAAAGUUCUCGAUCCCUGGGGAAUUCCAGAUCCCAGAGUUUUCAUUCCAGGGGGAUCCCAAAGUUCCCAUUCCAAGGGGAUUUGGGGAUCCCAAAAUUUUCAGUUCAUGGGGAAUUCCAGAUCCCAGAGUUCUCGAUCCAGGGGGAUCUGGGGAUCCCAAAGUUCUCAUUCCAAGAGGAUCCCAAAGUUCUCAGUUCAUGGGGAAUUCCAGAUCCCAAAGUUUUCAGUUCAUGGGAAUUCCAGAUCCCAAAGCUCUCGAUCCCUGGGGAUCCCAAGGUUCUCAGUCCAAGGGGAUCCCAAAGUUUUUGAUUUGUGGGGAUCCCAAAGUUCUCAGUUUAUGGGGAAUUCCAGAUCCCAAAGCUCUCGAUCCCUGGGGAUCCCAAAGUUCUCAAUCCAUGGGAAUUCUGGAUCCCAAAGUUCUCAGUUCAUGGGAAUUCCAGAUCCCAGAGUUCUUGAUCCAGGGGGAUUUGGGGAUCCCAAAGUUUUUGAUCCCCGGUGAUCCCAAAGUUCUCAUUCCAUGAGGAAUUCUGGAUCCCAAAGUUCUCGAUCCCUGGGAAUUCCGGAUCCCAAAGUUCUCAGUUCAUGGGGAAUUCCAGGUCCCAAAGCUCUCGAUCCCCGGGGAUCCACCUGGGGAAUCCUUCCCUGGGAGCGCUCCCGGAUCUCUCCUCGCUCUCCCCGCUCCCAUCGGGAUCCCGCCGGGAUCGAGGGGAAUCCCUGGGAUCUGCCCCGACCAAUCCUUCCCAAAGAGUUCCCGGGAUCCGCCCGGGCCAAUCCUCUGCUGGAGCAGCCCCCGGGAUCCACUCGGAGGAAUCUUUCACUGGGAAAUCCCUGGGAUCCACUCAGAGAAUCCUUCCCUGGGAAAUCCCUGGGAUCCACUCGGAGAAUCCUUCACUGGAGCAGCCCCCGGGAUCCACUCAGAGAAAUCCUUCCCUGGGAAAUUCCCGGGAUCCACUCAGAAGAAUUAUUCACUGGGAAAGUUCCUGGGAUCCACUCAGAGAAAUCCUUCAUUGGGAAAUCCCUGGGAUCCACUAAGAGGAAUUAUUCACUGGGAAAUCCCUGGGAUCCACUCAGAAGAAUUAUUCACUGGGAAAGCCCCCGGGAUCCACUUGGAGGAAUCCUUCACUGGAGGAGCUCCUGAGAUCCACUCGGAGAAAUCCUUCACUGGGAAAGCCCCCGGGAUCCACUCAGAAGAAUUAUUCACUGGGAAAUCCCUGGGAUCCACUCGGAGAAAUCCUUCACUGGAGGAGCUCCUGGGAUCUGCUCCAACGAGUCCUUCCUUGGGGGAGUUCCGGGAUCCACCCGGAGAAAUCCAUCCUGUGGAGAGCUCCUGGGAUCUCUCCAGACCAAUCCGUCCCUGGAAAAGCUCCUGGGAUCCACCUGGGGAAUCCUCCUCUGGAAAAUUCCUGGGAUCCACCUGGAUAAUCCUUCCCAGGAAAAGUUCCUGGGAUCCACUCAGACCGAUCCUCCACUGGAAGAGCUCCUGGGAUCCACUUGGAGAAUCCGUCACUGAAAAAGUUCCUG